This is a non-coding RNA of Meleagris gallopavo (turkey), 443 nucleotides long. Lineage: Eukaryota; Metazoa; Chordata; Aves; Galliformes; Phasianidae. The record is from RefSeq and is a predicted model, not a curated record.
CAGCCAGAGAUAUGCAAAAUUCUUGUAAUGAAACUGCAAGCCAAGUGAAAACAGAGCGACAAGAUAUUGCAUGUAGCAGAGAGUGGCUCCUGCUUCAAGUAGAAGAAAAAGAAGAGAGGGCAACCUCCUGGCUCUCUGGGAAUAAAGAGAACUCUUACAACUUCUGAAGUCUCCAAGAGUGAACUGAAGGCAGUCUUGCGCUAGCCAUGUGCUCCUGCUGUCCACAGAAGAAAGAAAAUGCUGCUCAGAGUCUAACACUGCACUGAUCUAUGUCUUUCGAACAGCCUAAAAGCCUCCAGCAAGACUCGUGCUUGGGGUACUUGGACAGAAUUGCCUGAACUGGCUUUGGAUGCAGUGACCACUACUAGCAUAAAAAAUUACAUUGCUUGAGAAAUCAGAUUCAAGUAGAAUGGGAGGACUGUUUCUGUAAAGUAGCCACAUUU